GACGAACGCUGGCGGCGUGCCUAAUACAUGCAAGUUGAGCGAUGAAGAUUGGAGCUUGCACCCAUUUGAAGAGCAGCGAACGGGUGAGUAACGCGUGGGGAAUCUGCCUUUGAGCGGGGGACAACAUUUGGAAACGAAUGCUAAUACCGCAUAACAACUUUAAACAUAAGUUUUAAGUUUGAAAGAUGCAAUUGCAUCACUCAAAGAUGAUCCCGCGUUGUAUUAGCUAGUUGGUGAGGUAAAGGCUCACCAAGGCGAUGAUACAUAGCCGACCUGAGAGGGUGAUCGGCCACAUUGGGACUGAGACACGGCCCAAACUCCUACGGGAGGCAGCAGUAGGGAAUCUUCGGCAAUGGACGAAAGGCUGAACGAGCAACGCCGCGUGAGUGAAGAAGGGUUUCGGAUCGUAAAACUCUGUUGGUAGAGAAGAACGUUGGUGAGAGUGGAAAGCUCAUCAAGUGACGGUAACUACCCAGAAAGGGACGGCUAACUACGUG
Molecule: ribosomal RNA, 497 nt
Filed under: uncultured bacterium
Lineage: Bacteria
Description: partial 16S ribosomal RNA
Rfam family: Bacterial small subunit ribosomal RNA
Source: RNAcentral